This 689-nucleotide ribosomal RNA is filed under the name uncultured bacterium. RNAcentral's name for it is "bacterial SSU rRNA". It matches the Rfam family "Bacterial small subunit ribosomal RNA", at positions 9 to 691 of the family's 1533-position model. The record is from RNAcentral.
GAGUUUGAUCAUGGCUCAGAUUGAACGCUGGCGGCAUGCCUUACACAUGCAAGUCGAACGGCAGCACGGGAGCAAUCCUGGUGGCGAGUGGCGAACGGGUGAGUAAUAUAUCGGAACGUGCCCAGUCGUGGGGGAUAACGUAGCGAAAGCUACGCUAAUACCGCAUACGAUCUACGGAUGAAAGCGGGGGACUCGCAAGAGCCUCGCGCGAUUGGAGCGGCCGAUAUCAGAUUAGGUUGUUGGUGAGGUAAAAGCUCACCAAGCCUGCGAUCUGUAGCUGGUCUGAGAGGACGACCAGCCACACUGGAACUGAGACACGGUCCAGACUCCUACGGGAGGCAGCAGUGGGGAAUUUUGGACAAUGGACGCAAGUCUGAUCCAGCAAUGCCGCGUGCAGGACGAAGGCCUUCGGGUUGUAAACUGCUUUUGUACGGAACGAAACGGUCUUCUUUAAUACAGAGGGCUAAUGACGGUACCGUAAGAAUAAGCACCGGCUAACUACGUGCCAGCAGCCGCGGUAAUACGUAGGGUGCGAGCGUUAAUCGGAAUUACUGGGCGUAAAGCGUGCGCAGGCGGUUAUAUAAGUCAGAUGUGAAAUCCCCGGGCUCAACCUGGGACCUGCAUUUGAGACUGUAUAGCUAGAGUACGGUAGAGGGGGAUGGAAUUCCGCGUGUAGCAGUGAAAUGCGU